UACGUAGGGUGCGAGCGUUAAUCGGAAUUACUGGGCGUAAAGCGUGCGUAGGCGGUUGGCAAAGUCAGCUGUGAAAGCCCCGGGCUUAACCUGGGAAUGGCAUUGAGGACUGCACGGCUAGAGUGUGGCAGAGGGGGGUGGAAUUCCGCGUGUAGCAGUGAAAUGCGUAGAGAUGCGGAGGAACACCGAUGGCGAAGGUAGCCCCCUGGGCUAACACUGACACUCAUGCACGAAAGCGUGGGGAGCAAACAGG
RNAcentral lists this ribosomal RNA (253 nucleotides) under uncultured bacterium. Its description in RNAcentral is "partial 16S ribosomal RNA". It matches the Rfam family "Bacterial small subunit ribosomal RNA", at positions 524 to 776 of the family's 1533-position model. The record is from RNAcentral.